UACGAUUAUUACGAACAAAAUUCAUGUUUUCUCGUACUAGAGUUUUGAUUUUUGCCAUUUACGAAAGAUGAAAUUCAUAUAACUAAGCAUCUUCCGAGCGGGCUAUUCACAGUAGAGAAUGGCGAAGCUACGAAGAACCAAAGAAUCCAACUGUCCA
Telopea speciosissima is the source of this 157-nucleotide long non-coding RNA. RefSeq lists it as uncharacterized. Lineage: Eukaryota; Viridiplantae; Streptophyta; Magnoliopsida; Proteales; Proteaceae. The record is from RefSeq and is a predicted model, not a curated record. The transcript has 3 exons.